RNAcentral lists this ribosomal RNA (315 nucleotides) under Salmonella enterica subsp. enterica serovar Bovismorbificans. Its description in RNAcentral is "bacterial SSU rRNA". It matches the Rfam family "Bacterial small subunit ribosomal RNA", at positions 110 to 428 of the family's 1533-position model. The record is from RNAcentral. Lineage: Bacteria; Pseudomonadati; Pseudomonadota; Gammaproteobacteria; Enterobacterales; Enterobacteriaceae.
GUAAUGUCUGGGAAACUGCCUGAUGGAGGGGGAUAACUACUGGAAACGGUGGCUAAUACCGCAUAACGUCGCAAGACCAAAGAGGGGGACCUUCGGGCCUCUUGCCAUCAGAUGUGCCCAGAUGGGAUUAGCUAGUUGGUGAGGUAACGGCUCACCAAGGCGACGAUCCCUAGCUGGUCUGAGAGGAUGACCAGCCACACUGGAACUGAGACACGGUCCAGACUCCUACGGGAGGCAGCAGUGGGGAAUAUUGCACAAUGGGCGCAAGCCUGAUGCAGCCAUGCCGCGUGUAUGAAGAAGGCCUUCGGGUUGUAA